UACGUAGGUGGCGAGCGUUGUCCGGAUUUAUUGGGCGUAAAGAGCGUGUAGGCGGCCAGACAGGUCCGUUGUGAAAACUCGAGGCUCAACCUCGAGACGUCGAUGGAAACCGUCUGGCUAGAGUCCGGAAGAGGAGAGUGGAAUUCCUGGUGUAGCGGUGAAAUGCGCAGAUAUCAGGAAGAACACCUAUGGCGAAGGCAGCUCUCUGGGACGGUACUGACGCUGAGACGCGAAAGCGUGGGGAGCGAACAGG
RNAcentral lists this ribosomal RNA (253 nucleotides) under uncultured bacterium. RNAcentral describes it as "partial 16S ribosomal RNA". It matches the Rfam family "Bacterial small subunit ribosomal RNA", at positions 524 to 776 of the family's 1533-position model. The record is from RNAcentral.